UAGUGAUCCGGUGGUUCUGAAUGGAAGGGCCAUCGCUCAACGGAUAAAAGGUACUCCGGGGAUAACAGGCUGAUACCGCCCAAGAGUUCAUAUCGACGGCGGUGUUUGGCACCUCGAUGUCGGCUCAUCACAUCCUGGGGCUGAAGUAGGUCCCAAGGGUAUGGCUGUUCGCCAUUUAAAGUGGUACGCGAGCUGGGUUUAGAACGUCGUGAGACAGUUCGGUCCCUAUCUGCCGUGGGCGCUGGAGAAUUGAGGGGGGCUGCUCCUAGUACGAGAGGACCGGAGUGGACGCAUCACUGGUGUUCGGGUUGUCAUGCCAAUGGCACUGCCCGGUAGCUAAAUGCGGAAGAGAUAAGUGCUGAAAGCAUCUAAGCACGAAACUUGCCCCGAGAUGAGUUCUCCCUGAGACUUUGAGUCUCCUGAAGGAACGUUGAAGACGACGACGUUGAUAGGUCGGGUGUGUAAGUGUAGCGAUACAUUGAGCUAACC
This 489-nucleotide ribosomal RNA is filed under the name Citrobacter sp. S55_ASV_140. RNAcentral describes it as "partial 23S ribosomal RNA". It matches the Rfam family "Bacterial large subunit ribosomal RNA", at positions 2413 to 2896 of the family's 2925-position model. The record is from RNAcentral. Lineage: Bacteria; Pseudomonadati; Pseudomonadota; Gammaproteobacteria; Enterobacterales; Enterobacteriaceae.